CCCUCAUACAGAACGACUCUUCUUGCUACGGCUGGGUACCACCACGGAGCUGCUCCGUGCUGUCCCGUAUAUCAGCAGUGCCAGAAGAGAUCCUCACAUCAGAAGGCAAGGGCAGCCUGAGCUAAACAGCUGGCUGGAUUUGCAUGAAAAUGGACUGCCCUUUUUCAUUUGUUUGUUCUUUGGAAAUUACAGUAGGAAAGCCGCAUAGGCAAUUGCUCCCACUUUGCUCAGCUCCCAGCAGAUCGCAAGGCACUGUUGUAAGAUGGCACUUGCUAAGGACUCACCGGGAAUAUUUCUAAUCUAUAAUUCAAGCUUCAGUCUGAAGAAACAACUCCGGGGUGAAAUCCCUCUUUGUGGAGGGAAGAAAAAUGAUUUCAUUGUAAGAAGGCAUUUUUUUAAGGUUGCACCAGGUUGGACAAGAAUGCUGCCUGGUCAAAGGCAAGAAGAGGUGGAGCAGUGUGGGUUUUAUUUAUUAUGACUCUUUUUCUCCAGUAAUAUAUUGUAUCUUUUUUAAUCAAGCCAAUUAAACUAAGGUAACAGACAAUAAAUAUUCUCCAAUUAGUUCAGUGUCACCACCUG
This is a long non-coding RNA of Gymnogyps californianus (California condor), 579 nucleotides long. RefSeq lists it as uncharacterized. NCBI's taxonomy places the organism in Eukaryota, Metazoa, Chordata, Aves, Accipitriformes, Cathartidae. The record is from RefSeq and is a predicted model, not a curated record. The transcript is spliced from 5 exons.